CAGAGCAAGCUAUUUUAGUCCAAUAAGAUAAAAAAGGAGUAACUUUUUUAAAGAGAAAAUUACAUUUGCUGCCUGUCAAAAAAUCAGGUUUUUUAAGGGCUCAGGAUCUGAUUAUCAGUCUGAUGAUAGUUCUAACUUUGUAAUGUUUUUUAGUUUUAUAUCACAGGUGAACGCUGAGCUUUAAGAGUAUGGAAGAGGUGGAGACAAUCCGGAGAGGGGGUUUUGUUACAUAAAUGCUCAGGAAAAAGGGGG
This is a long non-coding RNA of Panthera uncia (snow leopard), 252 nucleotides long. RefSeq lists it as uncharacterized. The record is from RefSeq and is a predicted model, not a curated record. NCBI's taxonomy places the organism in Eukaryota, Metazoa, Chordata, Mammalia, Carnivora, Felidae. The transcript is spliced from 2 exons.